CAAUAGCGUAUAUUAAAGUUGUUGCAGUUAAAAAGCUCGUAGUUGGAUUUGUGGCUGUCACGGGCGGCCUAUCACUUAGUGUUAGUGCUUGCCUGUGUCGCCAUCCUUGGGUGGAGCCCGUGUGGCAUUAGGUUGUCGUGCGGGGGAUGCCCAUCGUUUACUGUGAGAAAAUUAGAGUGUUCAAAGCAGGCUUAUGCCAUUGAAUAUGUUAGCACGGAAUAAUAAGAUAGGACCUCGGUACUAUUUUGUUGGUUUGCGCACCGAGGUAAUGAUUAAUAGGGACAGUUGGGGGUAUUCGUAUUUCAUUGUCAGAGGUGAAAUUCUUGGAUUUCUGAAAGACGAACUACUGCGAAAGCAUUUACCAAGGAUGUUUUCAUUAA
This 380-nucleotide ribosomal RNA is filed under the name uncultured eukaryote. RNAcentral's name for it is "partial 18S ribosomal RNA". It matches the Rfam family "Eukaryotic small subunit ribosomal RNA", at positions 592 to 976 of the family's 1831-position model. The record is from RNAcentral.